UACGUAGGGUGCGAGCGUUAAUCGGAAUUACUGGGCGUAAAGCGUGCGCAGGCGGUUCGUGAUGUCUGGUGUGAAAGCCCCGGGCUUAACCUGGGAAUUGCAUUGGAAACUAGCGGGCUGGAGAGUGGCAGAGGGGGGUGGAAUUCCACGUGUAGCAGUGAAAUGCGUAGAGAUGUGGAGGAACACCGAUGGCGAAGGCAGCCCCCUGGGCUAACACUGACGCUCAUGCACGAAAGCAUGGGGAGCGAACAGG
Molecule: ribosomal RNA, 253 nt
Filed under: uncultured bacterium
Lineage: Bacteria
Description: partial 16S ribosomal RNA
Rfam family: Bacterial small subunit ribosomal RNA
Source: RNAcentral